CACGUAGGGGGCGAGCGUUAUCCGGAUUCAUUGGGCGUAAAGCGCGCGCAGGCGGGCGUGCAAGCGCGACCUCUAAGGACGGGGCUCAACCCCGGCACGGGUCGCGGACUGCACGCCUCGGGUUCGGUAGGGGAGGUCGGAAUUCCCGGUGUAGCGGUGGAAUGCGCAGAUAUCGGGAGGAACACCGACGGCGAAGGCAGACCUCUGGGCCGCGACCGACGCUGAGGCGCGAAAGCCGGGGGAGCGAACA
Molecule: ribosomal RNA, 250 nt
Filed under: uncultured prokaryote
Description: partial 16S ribosomal RNA
Rfam family: Bacterial small subunit ribosomal RNA
Source: RNAcentral